GGCCCACAUUAAAUGCAAAAUUAAUUCUAUCAAGUUUGAAGUACUUAACUAAUUGUGCUUUGACAAUGUUGUUUUCAUAGCAUUGAAGUUAGCACAAGUUCAAUGUUUUGCUAAUACAACAAUGCAUUGCAUAAACUAAUGCUACCCCAAAGAAUGUGUGGAAAAAUAACCUUCAAGUCACUUGACACGGCCUGUGUAGGGAGAACCACGUGGCUUAGGAAUGGCAUGUAAAACAGAAAAAUAUACCAGAAAUUCUA
This 257-nucleotide long non-coding RNA is filed under the name Sorghum bicolor (sorghum). Its description in RNAcentral is "long non-coding RNA (SBIC_LNC011137)". The record is from RNAcentral. Lineage: Eukaryota; Viridiplantae; Streptophyta; Magnoliopsida; Poales; Poaceae.